This is a long non-coding RNA of Pogona vitticeps (central bearded dragon), 1750 nucleotides long. NCBI's taxonomy places the organism in Eukaryota, Metazoa, Chordata, Lepidosauria, Squamata, Agamidae. The record is from Ensembl.
AGCACAGGACUGCUGAUCUAAACCAUCUUGGAUAAAGCAAGAAACCAGAACUGCAGCAGUGAUGCAUUUUAUAUUGUUUAUACAAUGGGCCCAGAAAAUAGAUUUUGUUUCAUCCACAAUCUAAUCCGCCAAGGUGUCGAGGCCAGCUCUUUCCUAAUCCCUGAAACAAGCCAAAGGAAGGUCGUAUUAGAACGGUGCAAAGGAAAAAGAAAAGAAGAAAGUCGGUGUAUUUUGUUGUGUUUUCAAACCAUAGGUAGUGUUUUUAAUCAUGGACCCAGAGAUACUUCAAUUACUCAAGGAGGACAGUGGAAAAAUGCAUGUUAGCUUAAUAGACUGCUAUUUGUUUUAAAAUGUAAGGCAGGAAAGGGUGCUUAUUACUGAUGUUAAGAAUGUUGUACAAAUAUGCCAUCAAGAUGAAUUAUUUAGAUAAGAACAUCCAUCCAGUCUCCAUCACUGGAUGUCCCUUGGCCAAUUCAACCCUCAUUGUAAAAGUAGAUCGGUAGUCAGCUUCAAGAAGGGUAAUGAUGAAGAAUGAGAUGAGGAGUGUGAGGUUCUUUACCCAAUUAAAAGCAUGAACAACCUAAUUAGUAGGAAUAGUUGAGACUUAAUCUGAAUGGCAGUGACGAUGCUGGCACCAAAAUUCAGAAAGACAGUGCCAGAUGUAAAGUCGGGGUGGGGCAAAUCAGGUCAUUUUCACACCUUUCUUCCAAUUAAAACUAAUGAGAACCACCUUGGAGACAAUUUAAUUCAUGGAACAAAGGGUCGUGAAUGAAAUCUUUCUGUGCUAACAAUCAAGUCAAGAGUUCAAGGGAGUAGUCCAGUUAAGCUAUGAUGUGAUCCUUAUUAGCUACCUUCCCACCACCAUUACCAGAUUCUAUUGGAAUAUACAGUAAUUUAAUGCAUAAAGAAAGCCAUAUUAUUCUUGGGAAUGAUUCUUGCUGUAACACAUACUAUCCUUGUUGUCUCAAAAAGGAUAGUGCCUGUAAGAAGGGUGGCAGAUCUUAGACUUAAUUCAGAAUGGCUUCAUACAGAAACAAUAAGUGUUGUCUUCCAGAGAAAAAUUACCUUUCUAAUACUAGAAUUUCAAGAACUCAGGUACUGCAGAAAUGGCUGUUUCUGAGGCAGAAUUCAUUCUGAGCCCUCUUAAACUGAUGUGUUUCUGUCCAAUUUGUUUUGUCUUUUUUUUCUUUCUUACUGGAUAUUGAACAAACGAAAGGAGCUUCCAUUACCAGAAGGCUUUAAAUAGCCUGUACUUACCAGACCACCUUCCUUUAUUUCCUUAUCUAUGAUGUUGUGUCCAGAAAAUGUCCUAAAAUAGUUUGCACACAGUUUAAAAACAAUUGUGUGAAAAUAAUCAAACCCUCCAACGCCCAUGUACACUGUACAAGAUCAUCAGCUCCUAAAAGUGCUUACACUGUGCCUUGCAGGUCAUUGAAGGCGUUCAAAGUGCAAGGGGGAAGGGCCCUCUGAGCCUGGCCUGGGAAAAGCAUUGUGCUGGAUUCGACAGUCUUGACAAAGGGAUCUUUUCUACACCUCUCAAAAAUGUGCCAUAAGAAGAAACACAUCUCACCUCAGAAAUCCACACAGUUGUGAGGUGUGUGGUGCAUUUUAGAGAAAUGAAGUGUGCACAAAACCAUGUACAUAUUUUUACAAGGGAAUGUUGCGAAAUGAUAUAUAUGAACAAAUUUUGGUGAGGAAUUGCAUCAAGGAGCUAAAAUGUGUUAAUAAAUGCAAAUACUAAGGAAACCCA